Podarcis lilfordi (Lilford's wall lizard) is the source of this 3962-nucleotide non-coding RNA. Lineage: Eukaryota; Metazoa; Chordata; Lepidosauria; Squamata; Lacertidae. The record is from the annotation of a GenBank genome assembly.
GGCCAUCUUUAGUGGUUUGGAGGCUGUAAGUACUAAAGCCUGAAGGAGGAGAAUAUGCAACUGGUAAAGUCCAGUACAAAUCUCUCUCCUCUCAAAAACCCCAAUUCUUUGUACGUAGCAUUGCCUGACAGAGCCCACUAAGCUACAGAGGGGAGGCACAAAACAGGAGAAGUAGGCCGAAGUGCAGGAUGAACCCCGGGCCAAAGCCAGGCGUGUUUAGCCUCUCCAUUGCAGGGUGGGGUCCACUUUCUAGCCCUGUAGAAUUGCUGUCUCCUUAAGACUAAAAGGGAAAUGGAAAUCAAUGUUGGAUGGCAUUGUUUGGUUAUGAACAAAUAUAGGAAGGCUUCAGCGGCUGACUUGGCAUUCUCAGAAAGGAGGGAAUAGGGAGGAGAGGAGGAGGAGCUUCUGCUCCCUGCCUCCUUCAGUUUUUGCCCUCAGGAGCUGUGGCUAUAUAUAGUACAAAAGACGUGGUCCAACUCCUCAACCUAAGGCUUUUUUUUCUGGGGGUACGCAUACCCCUAAACAUUUUGUGAAUCUAGGUUUGGCCUCAUUGAGGGGCAGUAUUUCAAUACGAGUAGGAAAAUGAGAGUACCGCUAAACAUAUUUUUUACGGAAAAAAGCACUGCCCUUUUCUUCUUCUGAAACUUUCCCAUAGAGCAUAGGAACCACAAACCUGAUGGCAUGCAUCUGCCUCACCCUAAGCACAGCUCCCUGCUCUUAAAUUGUUUAUAGAGACUUGAACAGACCAAUUCCCUCUCUCCAUACCGCCAUCUUGUUUUUGUUUUUUUCUGCCAAGUGACACCUUCCACAUAAUGUGGUUCAACUUCUUUCAAUAUUCUCAAGGGACAUAGAACCUUCCAACCCUUUUCAGUCCAUUUGUUCCUGUUUUCCUUCUGUCUUUAAACUCAUCUACUUCUGUGUAUCUUAGGAGUCCUUUGAAUAUGCAGUAUCCCUGAUCUAUUCUUGGAUUAUCCAGUUUGGCUUCCUAACCAGAUAGGUACAGAAUCACUCAAGUUUAAUAUUAAGAGAGAGCAGCCCUCAACAAAAGUAAUAAUAAUAAUAAUAAUAAUAAUAAUAAUAAUAAUAAUAAAUAAUGUUGUGUACCACCCUAUACCCACAGGUGUCAGGGCAGUUCACAGGAUAAAAUAAGAAUAUAAAACCACAAAAUAUAUAAUAAAACCCAAUAACCCCUCCCAACACAUUUUAAAAGGGCAUAGGAUGUCAAUCAACGUUAAAGAGGAACGUUUUUGCCUGGCGCCUAAAGGUGUAUAACAAAAGCACCAGGCAAACCUCCCUCGGGAGAGCAUUCCACAAAUGGGGAGCCACUGCAGAGAAGGCCCGUUCUCGUGUUGCCACCCUCUGGACCUCUUGUGGAAGAAGCCCAGGAAGAAGGGCUUCAGAAGAUGAUCUCAGAGUCCAAGUGUGUUCAUAUGGAAAGAGGCAGUCCUGAGCCGUUUAAGGCUUUAUAGGUCAAAACCAGCACUUGGAAUUGGGCCCAGAAACGAAAAUGCUGCACUGUAUUCCCAACCCCUAACAGAAGCUUCCCAGUUCAGGAUUUCAACCUGGAAAAACUGUCCUUUAAACUUUCAUUUCUUAUAAAACAUUGCCAUACAAUGUGUGGAGGUGAGGUUUUAAGCAUCUACCGAUCCUUAAUCACCCAUCCAGGAAACAAGUAAUAAAAACUGAGGACUCAACGCAUCCACUUCCCCCAUCAUUUUCUCCUGCACCCCAUCCAACUGACACCCCCAGCUGUCUGUUGCUCAACUGCCCCCAAGCUUAGAUCUUGGACUCUCACUGGGCCUCUGGGCAUAAGGUCCUUCCUGGGGUUUUUUAAAUUGAUUUUUAAUUUACAGACUAGUUUAUUUCUGCAUACCAGCACACCUCCAGCUAUGCAGAAGCAGUUUUACCUUAUAUUUUGCUUCCAGAUUAAUAGGCAUAGGACCACUCACCUAGCAAAGGGGGGGGCAAUUAUCACAUUUACUCGAAUCUAAUGCACACCUCAAUUUUCAGAACCUUUAAACCAAAAAAAGUAUUUGCUGGUGAAUGUAAAUGCGCCAUCGAAUCUAAUAUGCACCUUAAUUUUUGCAAUGAGAUUUGACCCAAAACAGGUGAGCAUUAGAUUGGAGUAAAUACAGUAUAUGUUCAAACAUCAAAAUCCAUCCAGAAAACCAUAAGCAAAUUUCAGGUCAUCAACUGAUGGCUUCACAGUGUCCAACCCAUCUAAGCUGUGGCUAGCAUUAUUCAAAGUAGCAUCGCUGGUCAUCUAUCUGUAAGUAGGGAUGGGGGGAAAUUCAGUUCAAUUCAAUUUGUGUUUAAAGAUGAACUGAACUUUCCCAAACAAUGUACAUUCUAAAACACAGCCACCUUUCCAAAUUCAUACUUCUCUGAUGUUUUGCAGUGCAGGGCUCCAGCCAAGUAAUGUGUAGAAAAAUGCCUAUACUAGGGUAAAAUGUCCCUUAAAAUGUAUAUAUUGGUGCAAAGAACUUACAAAAAUGCAUUUUAUUAGGGGAAAUUGUUUUGCAAAAAUGAUUGUAUUGGGCAAAAUUGAAUAAGGGAGAAAGGUAUUUAUUUCAUAAAAUUUAUACACCACCUUAUUGCUUUUUUUAAAAAAAAAACCUUCAAAGUAGUUUACAAUUCACACUAAAAUGCUGAUUGAUUUUUUUAGGGCUCUUUAAAAAGAAAGAAAGAUCAAACUGGUUUGGAAAUGUGGAUCUGCACUUAAGAUUUGAAAAAAAAAGAGAAACUGAGAGAAGUCAAAAUUGACAAACUCAUCCCUCCCUCCCUGUAAGGAAAGUAGGUGGAUAAGAGCUAAUGUUUAUGCUAGGACCAUUAUUUCCUUUCAUCUUGCCCUAUCAGAAGUUACUUGAAGCUAUCAACAUUACUUGAAGCUAAGACACAUUGACAGUGUCUUAAUCAGGGCACACAGUGUGCAUGCUCCAUGUGCCGCCACCAUGUGCUGGAUGCAGCCUGGCCCCCUGCAGAAUCACAUGUUGCUUUGGUUACAGAUCACCUGAGCCAUGCAGUGAAACCUGUUUCUACACACAGGUUGGCUUAUCCAGAGCAGGCUGAUAUUCUCCACAAUCAUGAAUGCUUUCACAUUGUAAACUGGCCUGAGAUCUGUAGAUGAAGGGUGGUAGCAAAACCUCCCUCUCCUAGCUAGGCAGCAGAGCCCACUUACCACCACUGAGAUAUGGGAGCAGAAGAACUGCCCUUCAACAGGACUAACCAGCAGGCAUCCCAAAUGUUCCGAGCUACAAGAUAAAGGAAAUCGUUCUGCAUGCAAUAAAACAAAACUUAACCAAGGAAAAAAGUUCUUCUUUUCGGUAAAUUAUGGUUCUUGGGAUCUCCCCACCUCCCCGAUUGCUCGGUGCUUGGAGUUACAUUAUGUCUCAAGUAACUCUCCUGAUGACAGUAGCUAUCGUCGGAUCAUUAAGAAUUUGCCAUUGCCUGACCUUACAUGGAAGGAUAUAGAUGAAGAUGCCACGUAAAAAACCAGCCCAUUUUCAUUUCUUCACCCUCACAAAUCACUGUUAAUUUAAAGCUCUGCUACCUUUAUUCAGAACCAGGAGACCUGUCAUAAGGCUAUCAGCUACCCUUUGAGAAGUGCAUAGGUAGUUUCUCUACUAAAAUAUAUUUAGAUCUGCCAACUGGUCUUUCUUUCCCCUUUCUGCCUAUCCUCAGUUCCUAGCUUUCCAAUUAUAGCUCGCAACUAACCUGCUUGUGACCUGCACUCCAUGCUCUAGCACACACUUUGCUUCCUGCAAAAUCAAUUUCCCCAACUAAUUAUAGCCACUGGCACCUCCUGUAAUGGGCCCAUAAUAAUAGAAGAACCAUAGCUGCAACUGGUAUUCUGUUGGAAACAUGUAUUUCAGAGGAGAAAAAUGGGCACAUCUUUAUAACCAUCGCCAAUAAAAAACCAAAUUUGUCAUCUAGAGAACCUGAGUUCUGUGCCAAGAAAAGCC